GUCGAACGAACCUUCGGGUUAGUGGCGGACGGGUGAGUGACGCGUGGGAAUCUGCCCUCAGGAGGGGGAUAACGGUUGGAAACGGCCGCUAAUACCCCAUAUGCCGAGAGGUGAAAUGAAUUUCGCCUGAGGAUGAGCCCGCGUCUGAUUAGCUAGUUGGUGAGGUAAGAGCUCACCAAGGCAUCGAUCAGUAGCUGGUCUGAGAGGAUGAUCAGCCACACUGGGACUGAGACACGGCCCAGACUCCUACGGGAGGCAGCAGUGGGGAAUUUUCCGCAAUGGGCGAAAGCCUGACGGAGCAACGCCGCGUGAGGGAUGAAGGCCCCUGGGCUGUAAACCUCUUUUAUCAAGGAAGAAGAUCUGACGGUACUUGAUGAAUAAGCCACGGCUAAUUCCGUGCCAGCAGCCGCGGUAAUACGGGAGUGGCAAGCGUUAUCCGGAAUUAUUGGGCGUAAAGCGUCCGCAGGCGGCCCAACAAGUCUGCUGUUAAAAAGUGGAGCUCAACUCCAUCAUGGCAGUGGAAACUGUUGGGCUCGAGUGUGGUAGGGGCAGAGGGAAUUCCCGGUGUAGCGGUGAAAUGCGUAAAUAUCGGGAAGAACACCAGUGGCGAAGGCGCUCUGCUGGGCCAUCACUGACGCUCAUGGACGAAAGCCAGGGGAGCG
RNAcentral lists this ribosomal RNA (662 nucleotides) under uncultured marine bacterium. RNAcentral's name for it is "bacterial SSU rRNA". It matches the Rfam family "Bacterial small subunit ribosomal RNA", at positions 61 to 770 of the family's 1533-position model. The record is from RNAcentral.